GCGCCCGUAGCUCAGCCGGAUAGAGCACCAGAUUCCUAAUCUGGGGGUCGUGGGUUCGAGUCCCGCCGGGCGCGCCA
Molecule: transfer RNA, 77 nt
Filed under: Paracoccaceae bacterium
Lineage: Bacteria; Pseudomonadati; Pseudomonadota; Alphaproteobacteria; Rhodobacterales; Paracoccaceae
Also listed under: 5 other names
Description: tRNA-Arg
Rfam family: tRNA
About the family: Transfer RNA (tRNA) molecules are approximately 80 nucleotides in length. Their secondary structure includes four short double-helical elements and three loops (D, anti-codon, and T loops).
Source: RNAcentral